Thalassophryne amazonica is the source of this 317-nucleotide long non-coding RNA. RefSeq lists it as uncharacterized. The record is from RefSeq and is a predicted model, not a curated record. The transcript is spliced from 2 exons. NCBI's taxonomy places the organism in Eukaryota, Metazoa, Chordata, Actinopteri, Batrachoidiformes, Batrachoididae.
AAAAGUGAAAACUUAAAGGGACAUGCUUCUGUAAUAGUUGAAGCUCAAAACAGUGCCCCUUGUGGUAUUUUCAGCUUCACACCAUUUUUUGUUUCAAAAGAGUUCAUGUCUGAGUUUAGGUCACACAACAAAAACAAUGUGGAGCUGAAAACUACAAUGUAAAAAAAAAAUGUUUAAAAUAUUCUCAACAUAAAGAUAUUAGUUUCAUCAGUUUACAUUGAAAUGUUUGCUCAGACUGAUAUUAUUAAGUUUGGCCAACUUAAAAUUUUAAUUCAGAUCAACUCAGAAUUGCAAGUUCACUGAUAGUAACUUCAAAA